This 460-nucleotide ribosomal RNA is filed under the name uncultured bacterium. RNAcentral's name for it is "partial 16S ribosomal RNA". It matches the Rfam family "Bacterial small subunit ribosomal RNA", at positions 338 to 795 of the family's 1533-position model. The record is from RNAcentral.
CCUACGGGAGGCAGCAGUGAGGAAUAUUGGUCAAUGGACGAGAGUCUGAACCAGCCAAGUAGCGUGAAGGAUGACUGCCCUCUGGGUUGUAAACUUCUUUUAUAUGGGAAUAAAAUGUUCCACGUGUGGGAUUUUGUACGUACCAUAUGAAUAAGGAUCGGCUAACUCCGUGCCAGCAGCCGCGGUAAUACGGAGGAUCCGAGCGUUAUCCGGAUUUAUUGGGUUUAAAGGGAGCGUAGGUGGAUUGUUAAGUCAGUUGUGAAAGUUUGGGGCUCAACCGUAAAAUUGCAGUUGAAACUGGCAGUCUUGAGUACAGUAGAGGUAGGCGGAAUUCGUGGUGUAGCGGUGAAAUGCUUAGAUAUCACGAAGAACUCCGAUUGCGAAGGCAGUUCACUGGACUGCAACUGACACUGAGGCUCGAAAGUGUGGGUAUCAAACAGGAUUAGAUACCCGGGUAGUC